GCACCAUCUGCUAACCCAGAUGAGCACUGAAGCUGAGGUCUCCUUUUUCCUUUGGUGCAUCCCAUCCUUUGUUCUUUCCCUCAGCUGAGGUGGGUCCACAGCACCCCGAGGACACCUGGCCAAGGCCUGAGGCACUGCCACCAUCCUCUGUGCACGCUCUCACCAUGAUGCUACCUACUGGGACAGAAGCUGGCAAUGUACUCUGGAAGUUCUGACACCUUACACAGGCAUGCUGGGAUUAGGAGACAGAGACCAGGAGCUCAUGGACGGCACCCAGACAGAGCCUCUUGUACGCUAAGGGAUACGAAACCUAGAAGAUGGAGCCAGUGACGCAGACCCAGGAGCUGCUAGCACCUGCAAGCCUGGCUUGUGUGAUUUGGGGACUGGGCUUCUGUCACCUGCCAGUCUCCGGCAGCUCUUGGUGCUCCAAAAUGAAAUGUCUCCUAACCAAUUCCUUGUCUCGAGAAUCCAGCCAGUACGCAGCACAUCUCUGCUGACCUCAGACUUGAAGUGGGUCCCUGAAGAACAUUACCAGAAGCUGACCAGGAAGGACAUGUCCUAAUGCCCAGCCAAGGGCACAGUUUCCACUGCAGUUUUUGCUAAAAUGGGUUGCAUGUCCUAUUUAGCACCAAGGACAGAAGACAGGCUGGAAGGGUGAAGUCCCGGGCUUGUGGGUACAGUUAUCUCUAAGUGUGAGGGUGUAUUAGUUCCUCAAGUGAUGGACUUUUCCGCUUCCCAGUGUGGCACCCAUGUCCCUGGAGACCCCCUCAUCUGUCUUCUGGAAGGAACAUUUAUCUAUAAGCCUACUUCAAUCAGUUGGCUUCUGGGUGGGGGGUGAGGUGUGGGGGUAGGAACACCAUUCUCUUCCUGCAACCUUGCUCUGAGAGCCCAUCACAGUCCCUCACAUCUGAACCUGUGCUGCCUCGGCCUCUUGCGCAUGUGGCCGUGACACCCGAGCUCAGCUGCAGAAUAAAAUCUCAGGACUUGGCCAGAGAAGAAUCUUAAAAUCUUAAACGGACAAACUCAAGUUAGAAGGGGGUGCUCCCCGGAAACUAGCUCCCAGAACUCAGUGAACUUCCUGUUCAAGGCUUGGGAUUCCGCAGCCUCACUAGGCACCAAGUCAACCCUGGUCCUGCUGACUGACUCACUUUGCCUUCUCUGGGGCUGUGACUCCUGUGAGGCCAAGCUAUGGAUAUCCAGGCUGUAAUUCUCCAGGGGUUGUGGCUACCCAGAGCCUUUAAAUCAAGGCCUGACUGUCAAGGUCAUGGGUUGGGUGAGUGCAACAUGCUGGAAAGACCAUGGAGAGUGACUCCCACCACUGUGCAGCCGAGGCGGAGAGGAAAAGGCAGCUAUAUGCAGCUCCAGGGUCCCCGGAUCGGUCUCUCUCCUGAGGCAUGGCCCCCAUCCCCAUGUGAAGCACAUUCAGUGCUGGGGAAUUAGGCUGCUUACAGAGUAUACUUUCCAGACCUGGGCACUGGCUUAAAUGUAGAACAGUAAGCCCCGUCCGUCUCCAGCCACUUUCCCAUUACUGGCUUUCAUAAACGACGACGAUGACAACAACAAAUCCCUUUUGACUUUUGAGACAGGGUCUCACUAUGCAACCCAGGCUGGCCUGGAACUUGCUAUGUAGCUCAAGUUGACCCCAAACUUGCUACUCCAGAGUGCUAUGAAUUACAGACACGUGCAUCCACCCCCAGCUCUUCAGAAUUUUAGUGAAGCAAUGAAAUCACACAUCCACAAGCCGGAUGGAAUACACAUGAAACAGUGGCCCUGUAUUGUCUACAUGGUCACAACUGUGGAAUCAAGGUAGCCUUAUGAGUCCCUGUUGAGGCACAUGCAGGUUACAGGAGCCACACCCCUGCACCGCUCUUCCUUAAAUCCUGCGUCACUGAUGCCUAAAAGCAGGUUUUUCCAACACAGAAAAUGAGGCCGAGGGGCAUGAUUCUCAAGGUCACGGAGAAGGGCUUCACUCAGUUCUACCCGACGACUCCAGAGCUUGAAGGAGAAGCUGGGGCUCCCAGUGGUGUAAAGGGGACUGGCUGGCCCACGGCCACCAUGCCUAGGCACUCUAAUAGUGACCCAAACACCAGGCCAGGCCAGGGAUACAGCCAAGAAAACACAUCAAGCCUUCUAGAAAGGAUGCCCAAAGCACCUCCUCCAUUGCUAUCUUAGUGGGAAGGUUGGUCUUCAGAUUCCGCCGCCCUCACUGAACAGACCCACCCAUCAACCAAAGACUGCAGACAUCCCCGUCAAGAACUGCACUGGGCCAAGGAUCUCACCAGGCAGGGUUGGUUCCUCCCUCCAGCGGGGUCUUAGGCUUUGAGGCCUAAGGAAAAAACUACCAUGAUAGGAACUGUCACCCAAUGUAGCACCAAGGAAGAGAAAAACUCCAAAUUCCCUUUGAUAUUUUACAAGGCCUCUGAGACCCACGCCUGAGGCUUGGUGGCUGGUCACCAGAGACCUCAGAACCGUAGUCUAGGGAUAGAUACCAGAUCACUCUUCACAGUGGCCUGUGACUCAACAUGUCCUGAUGGACAUGCCAGGUAAGACAUCCCCCUGGCUCGGAGGUUAAAAACAGAAUCCCACAAAUCUGUGUGUGACUUUCUCUGCAGGAACAGCCUUGAGGUGACCUGCGGCUGGUGUCUCAGAUGCCCUGAGCUUUGCAUGCACUACUAGCCCACAGGCCAGACAAGGUGUGAUGAAACCCCGAGAUAGCCAGGGACUCUUGGGCUUCUGCCAAGGCUCUGACUCAGAAGGAACAUCCUCCCACAAAGCCUCAGGCAGAGAGAGAACUCAGGGACCACACUUCAGCCAUAAUGAGCAAGGUCAGGAGGGCCGGGGAGCAGGCUGUCCCACUCUGGGGCUCCCACAGCCACUCUCCAGCAGCCUAGGUAGGGUGCCCUUCCAGCCAGUAACUGGUAAGAGAAGACGGCGAAGAAGAAGGGUUCCAGAGGACAGAAUCCAAAGCGAGUACCUGUCAAUCAAAGCUCCCUGUGUAUUUCUGCUAUUAAUUCCCCGUGGCAUGUGAGGUGUUUAUUGCACAUCUGUUUCUUCUACUUUCAAUCAGGCCAGGGAAGAAAGAUCUUUUCCACCUGCCUCCGACACACUAGCCGAGUUUUCCAGAGAAAGAGCAGCCUGGAACAUGUCUCCCAAGACACCUCUCUCUCCUUUCCCGUCACGAGACUCGUUUACCAGAUUUUGAUGAAUGCGCACUGUGCACAGGGCCAGCAAAGUAGGAAAGCACGCUUGCAAGCUAGUGACCCACUGAUGGAGAGACCCACGCACCUCUGCAGAGGCCAGGGCAGAGCAACACGGGAGAACAAGCAGCGUUGCUGAGGACUGCAGGCAGGAACCACAGAUGCCUACCUUCCCCUGAGUAUGGCCCAUGUCCUGUGUGGCCCCAGAGCGAGGCCUGGCUGGUUCAGAGGCACAUCCUUCCUGGUCAUAAAAGAAAUGUAAGUACACAAAAUUCCAACCUCCCACGUCGCCCAUGCGCCAACCUGGUGCCUUUUCUCUGGUCUCCAGCUACUGCCUUGCAGAACUGGAUGCUUAUAAGGUGGUGCAUCCUGACAGGGUGUGAGUAGUUCUUAAAUGCUAACUAAAACUGUGCCCAUGGCAACAGAGAAUGCCAGAGACUAAACACAAUGGAAGACCAGAACAGGAAAGAAACCUGCCUGAGGAACGUGGAAGUGGACAGGAACCUGCAGAGCCCACGCGUGGUCCCUGGACGUCAGAGGCCCAGCUCACCCUGAUGUCAAGGUCAUCUGAGACAGUUUUCACCAUGCGGUCCUAAUUGGUCUGGAACUAUGUAGCCCAUGCUAGACCAGAACUUGUGGCGAUACUUCUGCCUCCCAAGUGAAGGGCUACAGAGGCCUGAGCCUUCAUCAUGUUCAGACUCUCCUUCUGAAGGCUGAGAGCUACUGUGAUCAAGUACCCGGGGUCCCCCUGCCCACCCGGCACAGGGGCUUCAACACAAGCUAGGGGACAGAGGAGGGAGGAUGUACCAGUUUGCAGGGCCUUUUGUGCAUGAACCAGGAGGCAGCAGCAAUUGGGAUGGCACAGGCCUGGGUGUCCCAGGCGCUCACAUCACAAAGGCACAGUGAGAGGCACAGCCGACUCAUGCCCGAGGACUAGGGUUGUCUGUGGGCACUCUGUGUCCAUUGAAAUCAAGCAGCUCAUCCCUGGGAGCGGAACACAUGUUACUACCCUGUCCCUCCAAAGGGGGCUGGGGCCUGGCAGACCUGACUCAGUACUCUCUCCACACCACCCAGGCCGAAUGCCCAGAAGCACAGAUGUUACUGUCAUGUUGAAGCUAAGGCGGCCCCUGGGGUCAGCAGAAGAGGAAAGAGGCCCCGUCUGCUCCACUUUCUUCAUUCUGCGUGAGUUUUUCAGGCUCACAAAGAAGGGGACUCUUGAGGACCCUCCUGGAGGCUCUCCAUCUGUGAGGCCAGCAGGCUGACUCUCCCAAGUGUGGCAGCUGGUCAGGGUCCGCACCCCCUCCUCUCCAGAGUCACUUUUUCUAUGUAUUCUGGGUUCAAAUCCCCACACAGAGGGAAACACCAGAACGCACCAAGUAACAUUUAUCUCUCUAUAUAUUAAAGGUUUCUGACAGGAAGGCCCCAAGCAGGGAGGCCAGCUUUGAAUGGGAUAGGUAUAGGAAAAUGGACCGCAGAACUCGGUACUCCAUUCUCCAGACAAGAGUUCCUACUGUCCAUUCUGGCGUGGACGUGCGGAACUAAAGAGGGAGCAGCCACUCUCCGGGGCCAAAACUACAUGGAAGAGUCGAGCAACUUCAUUUGGAAUGAAGCUUUGAUGAGCCCGAAUGAAAAUGAUAAAGAUAAUAAAAAAAUAUGGGCAGCUGCUGGAACACAAGGAAGGCCAAGGACGCAACAGGACCCGAGAGGUGACAAGAAAGUGAACUCAACCCUAGAGACAGCAAUUCGUUAGCUAGGCGGUCAAGAGGACACAACAGGGUCAUUCGGAAAAAGCUCCCCGGCAAUAAAAGCUCUCGGGUCCAGUCCUCAGUGCACGAGUCGUUUAAGUGUCCCCUCAUUAAACGCUACUAAGCUCCCAGAA
Peromyscus maniculatus bairdii (prairie deer mouse) is the source of this 5076-nucleotide non-coding RNA. The record is from RefSeq and is a predicted model, not a curated record. Lineage: Eukaryota; Metazoa; Chordata; Mammalia; Rodentia; Cricetidae.